RNAcentral lists this ribosomal RNA (933 nucleotides) under Cortinarius paludosaniosus. RNAcentral's name for it is "partial large subunit ribosomal RNA". It matches the Rfam family "Eukaryotic large subunit ribosomal RNA", at positions 39 to 954 of the family's 3401-position model. The record is from RNAcentral. Lineage: Eukaryota; Fungi; Basidiomycota; Agaricomycetes; Agaricales; Cortinariaceae.
CAUAUCAAUAAGCGGAGGAAAAGAAACUAACAAGGAUUCCCCUAGUAACUGCGAGUGAAGCGGGAAAAGCUCAAAUUUAAAAUCUGGCGGUCUUUUUGGCCGUCCGAGUUGUAAUCUAGAGAAGUGUUAUCCGCGCUGGACCGUGUACAAGUCUCCUGGAAUGGAGCAUCAUAGAGGGUGAGAAUCCCGUCUUUGACAUGGACUGCCAGGGCUUUGUGAUGCGCUCUCAAAGAGUCGAGUUGUUUGGGAAUGCAGCUCAAAAUGGGUGGUAAAUUCCAUCUAAAGCUAAAUAUUGGCGAGAGACCGAUAGCGAACAAGUACCGUGAGGGAAAGAUGAAAAGAACUUUGGAAAGAGAGUUAAACAGUACGUGAAAUUGCUGAAAGGGAAACGCUUGAAGUCAGUCACGUCGACCAGGGAUCAACCUUGCUUUUGCUUGGUGCACUUUCUGGUUUGAUGGGUCAGCAUCAAUUUUGACUAUUGGAAAAAGGCUGAGGGAAUGUGGCAUCUUUGGAUGUGUUAUAGCCCUUGGUCACAUACAAUGGUUGGGAUUGAGGAACUCAGCAUGCCGCAAGGCCGGGUUUUAAACCACGUUCGUGCUUAGGAUGCUGGCAAUAUGGCUUUAAUCGACCCGUCUUGAAACACGGACCAAGGAGUCUAACAUGCCUGCGAGUGUUUGGGUGGAAAACCCGAGCGCGUAAUGAAAGUGAUAAGUUGAGAUCCCUGUCGUGGGGAGCAUCGACGCCCGGACCAGACCUUUUGUGACGGUUCCGCGGUAGAGCAUGUAUGUUGGGACCCGAAAGAUGGUGAACUAUGCCUGAAUAGGGUGAAUCCAGAGGAAACUCUGGUGGAGGCUCGUAGCGAUUCUGACGUGCAAAUCGAUCGUCAAAUUUGGGUAUAGGGGCGAAAGACUAAUCGAACCAUCUAGUAGCUGG